Molecule: long non-coding RNA, 3660 nt
Organism: Meriones unguiculatus (Mongolian gerbil)
Lineage: Eukaryota; Metazoa; Chordata; Mammalia; Rodentia; Muridae
Exons: 6
Source: RefSeq, a predicted model, not a curated record
UAUCGAUGCUGUUUCCGUAAUUUGCGACAUAGAUUUACGACCUCGGCGCCAUCUUGAAAGCGUCAAUAUGAGGUAGCUAGUCGCUACGUCACCAUUUUGAGAAGGUCAGAGAGGGUCCUAGGGUUGAAGUUGAUCUCAAAGGUAAUCCUGAAGAGAGCAGAAAGUGAGAGUCUUCUUCUAAACCACACCUCGGACCAGAGUCUCUCACGGGGAUUUCUUGCAGACAACAGAGGAUGAAAAGGACUCCGUAGACUGGACAGGUGGUGGUUGAACCUGGCAUGUUGGGGCACAGGGUGUGAUCCUAAAUCCAGUAACAACAUCUUGGUGGAAGAGAAAUUAUAUACACUGUUUGCAUGUGGGAACCCCUGGAAGCCACAAGAGGGUGUCAGAUUCCCUGGAAUUGGAGUUACAGGACAUUGUAAGCUACCAUAUUCGUGCUAGGAAUCAGACCAGUGUCCUCUGAAAGAACAGCUCCAUGCUUUGGUGAAUUCUCCCUUGGGGCCCCAGCGUGGCUCCAGAUUUUUGACCUUCCAGUUUAGAAGCCCCAGCUGGGCCAGAGCUUCCUUUUCUCACAGCUGUCUUAAUUACCGCUACAUCUCUGACCAAAAAUCAUCGGAGAGGUCAAGGAGUGGAGUGCCCUGAUUGGUUAGAGUCAGUGUUUACCGGAAGUGGCCCUAAAUUCGUCCUGCCUGGAUCCUGUGGGCUGAUGGAAGGCAAAAGUGUCCCCAAAGGACCGUCCAAAAGACCGAACCUCAGCACAAAGAUUCUGUGUGCCCACAGACAGUGGUCUGACAUGCAGUAGGUGUUCAUCAAAUCUUGAGCUCUCUCCAACUGCCUUCCCUACAUCUCUGUUCACCGGCCUUUGCCUGAGGUAAGAUGGGAAUGCUACUGAACAGGCUUCCCGUUCUGAAUCAGAUAUGCUUUGGAUGCAGCCAGCGCCUCUGCCCCAGCUAUAUCUAGGGACAAUCUGUGCCAGAGCAUGCUGCCCUGCAGACAGAAACAUCUGUCUAAUGGCCAAUGGCAACUAGGAACUACUGUCAUACAGCAGCCCCUGGGGUAGGCUGGCCUCAGACAGGCAAGGGGGAUGGGGUGGUAUAAAUUCUGCCACACUGUAGGCGGGGCAAACUCCAGCCCUACAGUCCUCAAAGGACAGUUGGGUCUGCCUAUUCCAGGGAACAGUCUGAGGCUUUCACAGUGGUGCACAGGCCUCCAGGCUCCCACCCAACAAAGCUAGUUCAAGUUGAGCCUUUAUCCACUGAGAUAUCUUGUCAAUCCCUAAAUCAAAUCAAGCUUUUGGAGAGAGAGAGAGAGAGAGACUAGAGAUCCUUUUCUCUUUUCUGGAGCCACACUCAUUUGUUCCUUAGGGAAGAAUAAGAGCAGAAAUGUAGCAUCCUUACCCACUGACCCAUCCUGCCAGCCCUGCAUCUCAAGGUCUGGAUUUUCCAGCUUUCAUAUUAACUAUAAACACUCCCAAAGCCAUCCUACCUCCUGGCUCCCCUCUCAUCCACUAACAUAUGUUUAAAUGGUGGCCACAGCCUGGAGGAGGUUUGGGCCCUGAGUAGCUGCAUGGAGAGGGUGACUUCACAUGAAUAGAAACCAACUCUGUCACUGUCCAGCCAUUGUGUACUUGGGCUCUGUUUGCUACAGCAGCCAGCCUUCGCCACUGUGAGCCAUGUUAGCACAUUGUUUUGUAAAGCACCUCCAUUUUGGCUAAACACUGGCAGUUUCCCCAAAACAAAGAAAUUUGGUUUCUAGAAAUAAAGCAACUUGGUUUUUGUUAUUUGUUUGUUGUGGAGAGGUUUUUUUGGGUCUCCAAAAAGAAAUGUAGUCCUGGAACUUGCUGUGUAGACCAGACUGACCUCAAACUCACAGAGACCCACCUGCCUCUGCUACUAAGUCCUGUGGCUUGGUUUUUCUUUAGACUCUUGCCCUCCCCACCCUACAACCCCAUUAUAAUGGCUGUCUAUAAGAGACACUUAUCUAUCACUAAGUGAUACUUAGUGAUACUUAGACACUUAAUAUCACAAAGUGAGUGACAUUCUUUAACUCACAAUUCACCCAUUUUCCGUAGCUAUAGCUAACAAUGCUCAGCCCCCUUCUCCUUUUCUGCCCUGCAACUAACUUACUGUGUAGGCAGGGGGCGCUGUUUUUUACACUACAGAUCCAGUCUAUGGGUCUCCUCAUCACAGGGCAUGUGUUCUCACAGAGUCGCUUGUCUAUCCUGGAAGAAGGCCACAUCAUUCAUGUUAGCUGUGUGCACAUCCUCCUCUCCAGCCAUCUCCACAGCCAUCACACCAGCCCCUGAUCAGUUUCCAGUGUAACCUCCCAAAGGCUCUACACCCCACAUCAAUUGUGUUACAGUCUGUUAUAGUCUGAGUGUGCAAAAGCUCCUGGGUUGGAACACUUGGUUUCCAGCUGGGGGUAUUGUUCUGUUUUGUUUUUGAUCUGGAUCUUACAUAGCACAGGCUAGCCUCAAAAAAAAAAAAAAUCAAUAUGUAGUGAGGGAUGACCUUUAUCUUUUGCUUUACCUCCCAAAUUCUGGAGUUACAGGUUUGUGCCACCACACCAGGCUGACACCGGCACUGUUCAGAGAGCAUGUGGAAAUUUUGGGACAUGCGGUCUAGCAGGCGUGUGUAGAGACUUGAGGUAGGGUCAUUAGAGACUCAUAGUCUGGCUCUGCUUCCCCAGUUUUCAUCUUUUUGUUCUGCUAAGAUGUAAGAAAGCAUUCUCCCACUCUUGCUGCCAUGUACUCAGCCCCUGCAGCCACCACCCCUUCCCCACUUUGACAGUUAAUCUUCGUUGUCAACUUGACUGGAUUUAGAGGGAGACACACCUCUGGCUGUUUCUUUGAGGGUGUUUCCAGCCUUGACUGACACGGAGACAGCCAUGCCCUAAACGUGGGUAGCACCAUCCCAUGGGCUGGGAUCUUGGACUGAAUCAAAAAGAAGGAAGUGAGCUGAGCACCAGCAUUCAUCUCUAUCUGUUCUUGACUUCCAUGACUUCCCAGGUGUACCCUCAAACUGUGAGCUAAAAUAAACCCUUCUUUUUUGAGCUGUUUUUGUCAGGUAUUUUGUCAUGGCAAUGUGAAAAAUAAUGAAUCCAUGCUUAGGUUGAAAUUUGUCAUUUUGCUUAUUGGUCUGCAAAAUUAAAGGGUUGACUAGACGUCUCUUAAUAUUUGCUUUCAUGAUUUUGGAGCUUAAUGAUCCAAGAGUUUUUUUUUUUUUCUUUAUAAUUUCUACACAUAAAUAUGUUGUUCAUGCAAAGUCUUCAUUUCCCCCUGCCACUACCUUCCAGUCUGUGUAUUGCUAUAGGCUUGCUUUUCUUCUUCACAAUAUCGUUCCUGUCAUUAAAAGCUCAGUUCAGAUGACACCUUCAUCAGGAAGCCUCGUUCCAAUGGGAGCAGUAUAUAACUGAACCUCUCUGUGUCUCUCUUGCUCACCCCUCUCUGUGUGUGUCUCCAUUUUUGUAUGUAUGUGGUCUAUGUACAGGUCUGUACAGGUCUGGCUGCCCAUGUAGGUUCAUAUGGAGGCCAGGGAUUAAUACUAGAAUGUCUUCCUCAAUCAUUCUCCACUGUAUUCUUUUUUUUUUUUUUUUUUGAGACAAGGUCUCUCCCUGAACCUGGAGCUCACUAGUCUAGGCUAGGAAAAAUGCCUGUUCCAG